AACGAACGCUGGCGGCAUGCCUAACACAUGCAAGUCGAACGAAGCCUUCGGGCUUAGUGGCGCACGGGUGCGUAACACGUGGGAAUCUGCCCUUAGGUACGGAAUAACAGUUAGAAAUGACUGCUAAUACCGUAUGAUGACUCCGGUCCAAAGAUUUAUCGCCUAAGGAUGAGCCCGCGUCGGAUUAGCUAGUUGGUGAGGUAAAGGCUCACCAAGGCGACGAUCCGUAGCUGGUCUGAGAGGAUGAUCAGCCACACUGGGACUGAGACACGGCCCAGACUCCUACGGGAGGCAGCAGUGGGGAAUAUUGGACAAUGGGCGAAAGCCUGAUCCAGCAAUGCCGCGUGAGUGAAGAAGGCCUUAGGGUUGUAAAGCUC
Molecule: ribosomal RNA, 377 nt
Filed under: Sphingomonas sp. R-22840
Lineage: Bacteria; Pseudomonadati; Pseudomonadota; Alphaproteobacteria; Sphingomonadales; Sphingomonadaceae
Description: bacterial SSU rRNA
Rfam family: Bacterial small subunit ribosomal RNA
Source: RNAcentral